AUUCCACGUGUCUUUUAAUCAUCUUUCUUUAUUCACUUUCAGUAAAUAUUUUUUCCCAGCCUUGCAAAGAACCUUUUAGUUCUCUUCAUCUUCUUGAAGUUUCUUUUGAUCUUCUCCGAUGUGUUCUGUAAUCUUAGAGUUCCAGGUUGGGUCUUCUUCCGUCUCCUGUGGCUGUUAGUCGCCAUCCGAAUAGCUUCGAGUUUACAGGAUGAGCACGAGACGUUUGCUGCCUUGAAGACUCCUCCUAUUAUGUCUUACUUUUUCUAUUCUGAGACAUAGAUAGAUUUGAUGUUUAUUAUAUUCCAUACGUGUAUAUGUUCACUUAGAUGCUCUUGUAUGGCUUAGACCAGACCCUGGGGUAUUUCGUUAUUUCGACACUAUUCUAUUAUCUAUUAUUGUAAGACUUACGUGAUUAUUCUCUUCCACUUGAUUGAUUAA
Molecule: long non-coding RNA, 438 nt
Organism: Lycium barbarum (goji berry)
Lineage: Eukaryota; Viridiplantae; Streptophyta; Magnoliopsida; Solanales; Solanaceae
Exons: 2
Source: RefSeq, a predicted model, not a curated record